RNAcentral lists this ribosomal RNA (460 nucleotides) under uncultured bacterium. RNAcentral describes it as "partial 16S ribosomal RNA". It matches the Rfam family "Bacterial small subunit ribosomal RNA", at positions 338 to 795 of the family's 1533-position model. The record is from RNAcentral.
CCUACGGGAGGCAGCAGUGAGGAAUAUUGGUCAAUGGACGAGAGUCUGAACCAGCCAAGUAGCGUGAAGGAUGACUGCCCUAUGGGUUGUAAACUUCUUUUAUAUGGGAAUAAAACGUUCCACGUGUGGGAUUUUGUAUGUACCAUAUGAAUAAGGAUCGGCUAACUCCGUGCCAGCAGCCGCGGUAAUACGGAGGAUCCGAGCGUUAUCCGGAUUUAUUGGGUUUAAAGGGAGCGUAGGUGGAAUGUUAAGUCAGUUGUGAAAGUUUGCGGCUCAACCGUAAAAUUGCAGUUGAAACUGGCAGUCUUGAGUACAGUAGAGGUGGGCGGAAGUCGGGGAGUAGCGGUGAAAUGCUUAGAUAUCACGAAGAACUCCGAUUGCGAAGGCAGUUCACUGGACUGCAACUGACACUGAGGCUCGAAAGUGUGGGUAUCAAACAGGAUUAGAUACCCUUGUAGUC